AGCCCGUUAAUGGGUGAUAGCGUGCCUUUUGUAGAAUGAACCGGCGAGUUACGAUUUGUUGCAAGGUUAAGCGGAAAAAGCGGAGCCGUAGCGAAAGCGAGUCUGAAUAGGGCGCAUAAGUAACAGGUCGUAGACCCGAAACCAGGUGAUCUACCCAUGUCCAGGAUGAAGGUAAGGUAAUACUUACUGGAGGUCCGAACCCACGCACGUUGAAAAGUGCGGGGAUGAGGUGUGGGUAGCGGAGAAAUUCCAAUCGAACUUGGAGAUAGCUGGUUCUCUCCGAAAUAGCUUUAGGGCUAGCCUCGAGGUAAAGAGUCAUGGAGGUAGAGCACUGUUUGGACUAGGGGCCCUUCUCGGGUUACCGAAUUCAGAUAAACUCCGAAUGCCAUGUACUUAUACUCGGGAGUCAGACUGCGAGUGAUAAGAUCCGUAGUCGAAAGGGAAACAGCCCAGACCACCAGUUAAGGUCCCCAAAUAUAUGUUAAGUGGAAAAGGAUGUGGGGUUGCUUAGACAACCAGGAUGUUGGCUUAGAAGCAGCCACCAUUGAAAGAGUGCGUAAUAGCUCACUGGUCGAGUGACCCCGCGCCGAAAAUGUACCGGGGCUAAACAUAUUACCGAAACUGUGGAUGAACCUCUUUAGAGGUUCGUGGUAGGAGAGCGUUCUAAGGGCGGUGAAGUCAGACCGGAAGGACUGGUGGAGCGCUUAGAAGUGAGAAUGCCGGUAUGAGUAGCGAAAGAAGGGUGAGAAUCCCUUCCACCGAAUAUCUAAGGUUUCCUGAGGAAGGCUCGUCCGCUCAGGGUUAGUCGGGACCUAAGCCGAGGCCGAUAGGCGUAGGCGAUGGACAACAGGUAGAGAUUCCUGUACCAGUGCUAAUUGUUUAACCGAUGGGGUGACACAGAAGGAUAGGGAAUCGCACGAAUGGAAAUGUGCGUCCAAGCAGUGAGUGUGAG
Molecule: ribosomal RNA, 952 nt
Filed under: Listeria monocytogenes
Lineage: Bacteria; Bacillati; Bacillota; Bacilli; Caryophanales; Listeriaceae
Description: partial 23S ribosomal RNA
Rfam family: Bacterial large subunit ribosomal RNA
Source: RNAcentral